AAUCAGUUUCUCUCUGUUUGUUCAUCCAGGGUAUCAAUGAAGAAGAUGAGUUUCUGAAGGAGAUCAAAAUUGACCAUGGAGAACUAAAAGAGAUGAAGAGGAAGAAGAGGAGGAACGAGAAACGAACAUAGAAAAUAAGUGGUUCGACCAAGUUGCCUACAUCCACUGUGCAAAGGGAAGGCCCAAGAGUUUAAUGUUCAGCCAAAAGAAAUUCAAAAAACAAGCCCAAAUGGAAAAUUUGUGAUGUAGAAAGAGCCAUGCAGCUUCACUUGGAUCUCGCAUGUGGUUGUCACUAAUGAUGAAGGUAUUGAUGAAGAAGAUGAUGCUGAUUCACCGAGUUUCUGAAGGAGAUCAAGAUCGACCAUGGAGAACUAAAAGAGAUGAAGAAGAAGAAUAAGAAUAAGAGAAACGAGAAAGGAACUCAGAAAUUAAGCGAGUUUACAAGAGACUAAGAAGGCUAAUGGUGAGCUUGGAGGUUACAACAGAAAUCAGGCAGCGCAAAUAAAAAAUUGUGGAUCCACGAACAUUGACGUCGAGUCAACCCACAAAAAAAACCCACGGAUAGAUGGUUGAAACACGACGGAUGGAGGUGCUAAACAGACAGAAGGGUGAAAUAGAACGACUGAAAGAAGACAGACGGCCAAUAGUGGCGGUGCUGAAGACUACGGAGGAAGACAAGGAGCUAUGCUGAAGAACAAAUCAGUGGCGAUGAAAAAGUCAGGACUUGUCGGCGGCGCUAAACGUUUUGUCUGGGAACAGAGUCGAGGCUGAAGGCGAACGAAUGAAACCCUAGAGAUGAAUGAACGAAACCCUGAAGGCUGAAGGUUGUUCGCUAGAGGAUAGAUCGUCGAAGGUUAUUGAGUUAGCGGCUAUUGCAGGUCAUCGUCGCUGUGGGCGUCGUGUUGUUGGUUGCUGGAGGAUGGAGCCUGACCCCAGAGAAGAAGAACCAAGGUGUAGCUAAAGGUGGAAGAAACCAAAGGGACAGAAGGGUGUAGGAGGCUGCAACUUUGAUCUUUAAUUUAGGGUUUCACCCUAUUUUACCUAAGAUAAAAAUAAUAAUUAAUAAUUUAUCCUAUUUAAUGACAGUUAAUAAAUGUCAUAAAUUAGUAUCAUUUAAAAAAUGUCAUAGAUGAACAAAAAUCUGAAAACCUCCAUUUUUUCCGUAUAAAAA
This is a long non-coding RNA of Benincasa hispida (wax gourd), 1171 nucleotides long. RefSeq lists it as uncharacterized. The record is from RefSeq and is a predicted model, not a curated record. NCBI's taxonomy places the organism in Eukaryota, Viridiplantae, Streptophyta, Magnoliopsida, Cucurbitales, Cucurbitaceae.